RNAcentral lists this ribosomal RNA (465 nucleotides) under uncultured Klebsiella sp. RNAcentral describes it as "bacterial SSU rRNA". It matches the Rfam family "Bacterial small subunit ribosomal RNA", at positions 338 to 795 of the family's 1533-position model. The record is from RNAcentral. Lineage: Bacteria; Pseudomonadati; Pseudomonadota; Gammaproteobacteria; Enterobacterales; Enterobacteriaceae.
CCUACGGGGGGCUGCAGUGGGGAAUAUUGCACAAUGGGCGCAAGCCUGAUGCAGCCAUGCCGCGUGUGUGAAGAAGGCCUUCGGGUUGUAAAGCACUUUCAGCGGGGAGGAAGGCGUUAAGGUUAAUAACCUUGUCGAUUGACGUUACCCGCAGAAGAAGCACCGGCUAACUCCGUGCCAGCAGCCGCGGUAAUACGGAGGGUGCAAGCGUUAAUCGGAAUUACUGGGCGUAAAGCGCACGCAGGCGGUCUGUCAAGUCGGAUGUGAAAGCCCCGGGCUCAACCUGGGAACUGCAUUCGAAACUGGCAGGCUAGAGUCUUGUAGAGGGGGGUAGAAUUCCAGGUGUAGCGGUGAAAUGCGUAGAGAUCUGGAGGAAUACCGGUGGCGAAGGCGGCCCCCUGGACAAAGACUGACGCUCAGGUGCGAAAGCGUGGGGAGCAAACAGGAUUAGAUACCCUUGUAGUC